GGGCAGGUGCGGGCAGAGCUUGGUGCCUGCGGAGGCCGGGCGACGUCGAGGGCCUGCGUGGAGGGAGCCGGUGAGGGCACCGCGUUCAGGCCGCGGUAAUUACCGCCGCCCUUUUUACGUUUGCGGGGGUUGGGGGGGUACGGUGUUUUGGCCGCCUACGGUGCAAAUGCUUGAAGGGGUAACAGAUUAGUUUAAGCUUACUCCCCUGUUUUGGCGAAGGCUGUGUCUGUCUGCUGUGAGAACUUCAGAGUUUGCUCCCGCAGAAUAAGGGUCUGCCACAACCCCGGCUCGCGGCCGCACGAGCACCGAGCUUCCCCGCCCGAGGCAGAAGAGCUGUUGGCGCUGCUUAGGUACGCUGUUCAGCAAGAGCACCGCGGAGACCAGCCGCACAAGCCUCCGCUUCAGACCCAGUCAACUGAACUUCUGUGUCUGAUGACCUUUCCACCGUGAAGUCAUGUGUGUGAUUGAGGAUUAAAUAGCACCCCCCUCUCUGUGCAUAGCUGAAGCAAAAGCCAGAGUUUUGAUUUUAGUGAAGGCUGAAGCCUACUUAUUUUGUCAAGAAGUUGUAAGCGUGAUCGCUGCACUCCUGCCUUCCUUGCAAAGGACACCCCGGAGAGAGCAACAAAUAGAAAAAAAAGAGAGCUUCCCAGCACGAGGAACCCUGGGAUACUUAUCUGCGUGCUUGACCCAGUGCAAAAAUACUGACAGCCAGGCUGUGUUUUGGCCUCAGCAUGGCUCCUGGCUGCCUGGUCUGGGCUAUUUCAGUCUGCGAGGGUACUCUGCAAAGCGGAGAAAAGAAGCCAAGGAUGAAAAGGGAAAUGACUGGUCUACUGUUGCAUUGGGAGGCUGUGCUAGGACACAGAAGAUUCAGAAGAAAGAGACCGGGUUGGUAGUUUUGCAAUGUAAUGAAUUCUCACAGGUAGUGAGCUGGUGUAGAUGGUGAUUUUAGAGCAUAUACAUCUAGCCCGAGAUUCCUAGCACAGGAGGCAAUAACCUCGCACUGUCUCGGAUCAUAUCGUGUCACACUGAAUGUUGACCUUGGCUGACCUUACAUCAUGACAUGCUACAGUUGAAGUAAUGUAACAUGAACCAAUGUAUCAUGCGCUUAAUGUUAAUCUGGAGUUAUCAUCUGUGAACAAGGCAAAAAGUUUGGAAAGUUUGUUGUGUGGAUCUGCCCUGUGUUCCUCGGGCAGUCUCUGAGCUGCACGUGUUCGAGCUAACAACCAAAACCAACAGAGGGGAAGAAGAAGGGCGGAAACCAGACAAGUAUUUCUGUAACAGUUAGUUAUAAAGAUCCUGAUCAGUUUAAUGUGGAUCUGAAGAUAAUCUACUAAAGAGGCUCUAUGCCCCUUGACACCGUAGUAACCAGGGCAGGAGCGCGAGCAGGCAGUGGGAGCGCUCGACAGCAUUCGUUGGACUCUUGGGGUUUUUGGUGUAGAAAGCUUCAUAUAUACGUUUCUGAGUACAUUUGUUGUUGAAUGUAUUGCUGAAUAUAUUUAUUGCUAUUACGCUGGUUAAAAAAAGGGUUAAUGGUAGUGUUGGGCCUUAUGAAGUAAUCAUUUUCGUAAUAUUUACUUUAUUCAUGUGCUUGCUCAGCCUUUUGACCCUCUGUGAAAUUGUACCUAAUAUUAUGAGGGUUUAUCUGUGGGGGUUUUUUUCCUAGAAAGACUUUGAGAUAAUUCUGUGCGCUGUUUUGGAAAAUAAUUUGUAA
This is a long non-coding RNA of Struthio camelus australis, 1711 nucleotides long. The record is from Ensembl. NCBI's taxonomy places the organism in Eukaryota, Metazoa, Chordata, Aves, Struthioniformes, Struthionidae.